Molecule: long non-coding RNA, 2612 nt
Organism: Xenopus laevis (African clawed frog)
Lineage: Eukaryota; Metazoa; Chordata; Amphibia; Anura; Pipidae
Exons: 3
Source: RefSeq, a predicted model, not a curated record
UUGCUUCCCCCCCCCAUAUCUUCUUGUCCAUUUCUCUGACUCUCCAUAUAGUUUUUCUUUCCUGAUAUUUUUUGUUAUAUAAUGUCUAGCAUAUCUCCUCUGCUGGUCAUCCUUGUCUUUAGCACGUACUUUACUCUUUUACAACUUCCCAUUCUCUUCUUCUUUCCCCCUCUUUCUAUAUGCCUUUAUUAUCUUUCUCAGUCCCAUAUUUAAUAUUGUUACCCUAUAUGUCUUUCCCCUAAAAACACAUGUACCAUUCUUUCCCUACCUCCACAUAUCUCAACAAUGUCAUUCCCACUUGCCAGGAACUGGAUUGCUGACAGAUGCAGAUCAUUUCUGCUGAAUCCCAGAACAGCUGUGUGGUGAUGGAAUAGGCUGGAACGAUGCACAGUUAUACUUACCCUAACCUGGAAGUAAGUUAGGCAUCUCUCUGCUCCAGAUCUUGGUGUCAAGAUUUUAGCUUUUUCUUGCAGCUCCUGGUCCUGGUUUCCCUUCAGUGCUUCCCAGCUUGGAAUCAGCUUCCUGAGUCUGUCCCAGCACGUUCUUGCCUACAGUGCAUUUUCACUCAGUCAAGCUCCAUUACUAGGAAGUUCCAGCCAUAGCAACAGCUUCCAAUUACAGAUACCAGCUCUUCAAGCAACAGCUCCAGUCACAGAAACCAGUCCUUCAAGCCACAGCAACAGCUUCCAGCCAUAGCAACCAGCUCUUCAGCCAUAGCAACAGCUUCCAGCCACAGCAACGGUUACACAUUCUUUCUUCUACCAAUGAUAAGCAGAGAGAAGAAACGGAAGCCUACUCUACUUCACUAAGAUGGCACCUGCGUGAAUGCUUAUGCGAGCCGAAACAGAAGAUGGAUUCCACGCUAUAGGAAUAGGAAAUCCCACAUAUGUGGCCCGAAGAUGCCCUGCGAAGUUUGAAAAUAUAUGUAACCCGUGGCUAGACAUAAACCUGUGGAGAUUCCAGACUAAAAUCUGCCCCUUGGCAGGACAGAGAUUAGCCCUUCUCCCCCUGUACACAUCCUCUGCCCCCAAGAUUGGGGGACAUGAUGAUAGUAAUAUGUUUUCAGAGCAAGUUAGGUGUGGUACUGUACCCUUGUAUACUGAGAAACUGUGAAGCUAUGUAUUAUAACUCAAUUUUGCUUGUGAACCAUGUUAUGUUUUGUUUGUUGUUUUAAUCCCCUUGUAUCCCCUUCCCUGGAUAAUUGAAAAAAAACUCACUACAUUGAUAAGUGAAAGUGAGGAGCUGCACAAGGGAGGGGCCUCGGCCCCCUUGGCGGGUCCCGACGCCUAUGCCUACAGGCCUAUGACCACUUCCUGCCACACAUUUAACAUAGUGCCUGGUUAGGGGUGAAUCUUCCUCUUUGGCUUCUGGUUGCUCACCCAGUUGGAUCUGUUCCAGGGAGCCUGGGUACACCAAGGCCCAGUAAAGCUAUUCUGCCCUAGAGGGACCUAUACAUCUAGGGAUGAGUCAGGGAGCAGGGACCCUGCAAAUGAGGCUUAGCCAGAGAUAGGUUAACUCUUUAAUAGUACUCUCUAGGAGAGUAAGAUAGUGAGGUUAAAUAGCACAAGAAGCCUGUGCUCCAACCAGGAUUGUAGUAGGGAGUAACUGUCCCAAAGGCUCUGAGUUUGCCUAUAGUGAAGGGGCCACAGCUGGAUAGGGUGUCAGGUUUUAGAUUUAUUCUCCCUGAUUAUUCCACUGUAUGGUAAACGGACUAUGCCCGGGUAUUAAAUCCUAGAGCUGUACCUUAACUACAUCCACAUGGUGCCACAUUGCGCUGUCUCUGCCUAACUGUCAUGGCAUAUUUAACAUCUGCCAUAUGUCUCUGUGGAUCUGUGAGUAUAACCCUGUGGAACUAUUGUCUUGGACAAUAAAAGUUAACCUGUUUGCUGCAAGGACCUCCUGGCAUCCUUUAUUUUAUUUUUAAGCACAGUAGCCAAUGCAAGUUGUAGUUUAACUGCACCUUUCAUUCCUAACUUCCACAUAGUGAAGGUCCUGCCUUGUGUGUUAGAGCCAAGUGUAACCCUUGCUCUACUGUUUAGCCCAAAGUAGCGUUACAUAUGAUUUACAUUACAGAUAUUACCUUUGUAAAAUGCAUGCAUUCAUAUUGUACAUGGUUAUGAUGUUUGCUUCGCAUUGGGUACAACAUGGUUUGGAACACUGGAUAGUCUCUAUAUGAACAGUAUCCUGUUGCAAUAUUACUGAAUUUUUUUUAUCUGUUCUAUUUGGACAUUUAAAUUUACUCUUUUUGAUUGGAGGAGACACACUCCUGUGGAUGAACUUUGUCCUGGACUAUCAUUGGAUGAAGCCACAUCUUUAUGUGGAUUGGAUCUAAGAGGGACACUUGGGAAUUAUAGUUUCCCUCAUGAUGGUGUCAUGGAAGAGGUGGGUCUGAGGGUAUUUUAGUCUUCCCUGAAACAUGUUGUGUGAAAUGGCACAAUAAAAGCACAUUCACAAGGAAUGAUUUCCUGCUGUUGAGCCUUUGUGUUCCUAUGAACUUUUAUCAUUUAAUCUUGCAAAUAUAUUGAAAUCAUCAUACGAGCUAGAGGUUGUGGUAGCUUUUUUGUUUGCAGUCUAUUGAAUGGGACAGGGGAUGCAAGAGUUUAUUUCCAGAA